Acanthosepion pharaonis is the source of this 112-nucleotide non-coding RNA. NCBI's taxonomy places the organism in Eukaryota, Metazoa, Mollusca, Cephalopoda, Sepiida, Sepiidae. The record is from the annotation of a GenBank genome assembly.
UAUGGUCGUAUCACGUUGAAAUACCGGUUCGCGUACGAUCACCGAAGUUAAGCAAUAUCGAGCUUGGUCAGUACCUAGAUUUUUGACCUCAACGGAAUACCAGGUGCUGUAA